AUGGACGCUGACGGACGCGCACCCAUGUGGAAGAAGAAAUCUAUAUUUUGGGACCUGCCAUAUUGGAAAGACCUAGAGGUCCGCUCCGCAAUCGACGUGAUGCACGUGACAAAGAAUCUUUGCGUGACCCUACUUGGCUUCUUGGGCGUGUAUGGGAAGACAAAAGAUACACCCGAGGCACGGGAGGACCAGCAACGUAUGCACGAAGAAGACGGCAUACAUCAGGGUCAUGCAAGCUACGCUCUUACCAAAGAAGAGAAGGAAAUCUUCUUUGAAUGCCUGCUCAGUAUUAAGGUACCGUCUGGCUUCUCAUCGAAUAUAAAGGGAAUAAUAAACAUGGCAGAGAAAAAGUUCCAGAACCUAAAGUCUCAUGACUGCCAUGUGAUUAUGACGCAACUGCUUCCGGUUGCAUUGAGGGGGAUUUUACCGGAAAACAUUUGA
RNAcentral lists this ribosomal RNA (441 nucleotides) under Triticum aestivum (bread wheat). RNAcentral describes it as "partial small subunit ribosomal RNA". The record is from RNAcentral. Lineage: Eukaryota; Viridiplantae; Streptophyta; Magnoliopsida; Poales; Poaceae.